GCACACAUGCUUUCAUAUAAAAUUUUCCCAGAUUAGAGUGAAGUGUCAUGGAGCUUAGUACCUACACUUAAGUCUUAAGUAAUUGAAGGACAAAAUAAUUAAGUCAAGCACUAUUUCUCUUGCCCAUACUUCACCUUUGUUCCGGAGUUUUGCAUAAGUUUUUUCAAAAAUAAAACUCAGAGUUCCAAGCUAUGACUCUCUCAAGUCUCUCUAUAUGUGGUAUUUGUGGACCCUUACCAAACAUGUCACUUACCUAUAGCUAAUGGAAUAUUUAAGUGGAGCUCAUAGGAGUGAAAAACAACUCAUACAUAUGUUGUCUAAUCGAGCUAUGGAUCCGAAGGAACUCAACAUAUAAUUAAAUCAAGAUGUGCAUGUGUGGUGGAGUAAAUGAGAGUGAUGGUAAAAACGUAUAAGUGAUGAUAAAACUUACUUCUCAUUGCUCCUCAUAUUGCUAUCUCUCCUCCUUUUUGAGCUUUGCUUUGGGAGAACGUGGGCUAUCUUUUUCUUUUCUCUUUCUUCUCUUUUUUUUCAGGUGGGUAGUAGAUACCCCUAAUUCUACCGUCGGACAAUUGUCCAUUUUUUCCGCUCAAGUGGGUAUCUUUGUACCCCUAAUUCUACUCCAGACACUUGUCCAUUUUUACAAAUCGUCUCACUCUUUUUCUUUCUUUUUCGAGGUUCCGGGCACUUGCCCCUUUUUAUUUUCUCGCAUAUUUUUGCAUAACCCAUGCCUCUUCUACAUUUAAUCUUUUUAGAGAGAGAGAAUAACAACACUUGGGACAGUGAGUGAUAAUAUUUUUAGCAAUUUUAAUGAAUGGUGGUGGAUGAUGUAGUAGAUGUGUGCAAGUGAAUAUCUUAAUUUAACCACAUGAAAAGCUCCUAAGGGUCUACACAGCUCGAUCAAACUCAAUGUGAAUAGUAAAAGAUGUUAUAGCAAGUAUGGCUGUGGUAGGAAGUUUGUCGUGCUAGGAACUCAUCAUGUGAUUUGUAGGUUUUUAAAAUAAAUCUCCAGAACUUAGUGUAGUAGGAACAAGAUAAACAGCAGCUCAAACUUUAUAUCAUGCCCUUUUCUUACCUACUCUUUGGUUUUAGGUUCGUGCUUCCCAUAGAUAGUAAAUUUUAGUUUUAGUAAUUCCUGGAAGAACUCUUAAUAUAAAAGCUAGGUACUUGAAAGUAAGCAAACAGAGCAACUAUUCAUCAUUUCCAUCAUGCAUCUUUUUGGUCUUUUAUUUAUUUUUAGAGGUUAACACUUAGCAGGAAGAUGAAGCACACUUAUCUACACACUCUUUUUAUUUUGUUUUCAUGUUUAUAAAAUGCAGUAAUUUAAAGCAAGAAAAUAUUUAUUGGGUUUUCUAAGUUUUUGUCUUUAAGAUAAAAUACUAAAACAGAAAAGAAUAAAUAAGAAGGGAAAAUAAAAACUUACUUGAUAAAAUGGGGAGGAACUCCCCCAAUUUGAAUGUGGUUCGGUCUUACCCAAUGUUCCAGAAUUGCAUCAUGGUGGUGAUGUUGUCGUUCAUUGUCGUGGUGUCUUGUCUCUAUUCUUGUGCUACAGUGGCGUGGACCUGGUUCCACUUUUGUUGCUGUUCCAGGAGUCCUCCAUGUUCUGCUUGCGUAUUCUGGAUGUCGAGGAGGGUGUUGUCGGUGCGGGUGAAGAACGCGCCGGCCACUUGGUAGUAGUCGUUCGUGAAAGCGUAAGAGGCGUUGGAGUACCGUCCUGCAUCGAAUUGGGGCUAGGAUCUAGACCCUGAAGCUCCAUAUGGAUC
RNAcentral lists this long non-coding RNA (1760 nucleotides) under Sorghum bicolor (sorghum). Its description in RNAcentral is "long non-coding RNA (SBIC_LNC008728)". The record is from RNAcentral. Lineage: Eukaryota; Viridiplantae; Streptophyta; Magnoliopsida; Poales; Poaceae.